CCGAGCAAACCAGUACGUAGCACCUUUCUAUGGCUUCUGCCCCCAGUUCCUGCCCUCAUUGCUUUUGGUGAUGAACUGUUAACAGAACUGUGAGAGAAAUAAACCCUUUCCUCCCCUUAUUGCUUUUGGUCAUGGUGUUUCAUCCCAGCAAGAGUAAUUCUUAACGAAGACACAAGCUGGUACCAGAAUAGUGGCGUAUUGCUGUGACAGACCUGUGUUGCUUUGGAGGAUGAUUGUGGAAGGACUUUGGGACUUUUUUCUGGAAAAGUCAUCGAGUGUUGAGAGCUUGGAACCACUACAGUAAAAGCUUUGCUUUGCUGGGACAAUGGAUGCUGUUCAGCUGGGGCUGAGAUUCAGCUGUGAUUAAGAAGACACCAGCAUCACCGAUGUGAAAUCUUCUAAGUGUUUUGUCAGGGUCAGCACACAAGAGCUGUGUUCCAGAAGUGGCUGAGACUGUACCUUGUGCUAGCAACUGAACUUGGUAGUAGAAGAGCUGAAGGGGUCAUAGAGAGCAAAUGAGGCUUGGCACUGUGUGGCCAGGUUACUGGUCAAAGUACAGCUCAGUUACAGCAAGGGACCCCUACAUUUUCAGAGACACCAGUUCCAUGGGAUAACCACCAAAACCAGCAGCAGCUGUGGUGUGGAGCCAGCUGGAGGGAGCCUCAAAGACAGCUGUGUGUGUUGCAGAGGGUGGAGUGAGAGACGUGAUCCAAGCAGUUCGGAGGAGCCCAGAAAAUUGAGGCACAUCCUUGAAGAAAACGGACUCUUCCUUUCCAAGCAGCCAUAAACUGCCAGUAGCUCCCGAGCUCGCAGUGGGACACAAGGUGCUGUGCAGAUGUGUCUGAGAACUGGUUUACUGGGCAAACGCCACACUGGCGAAUAUUCUCGCUGUGUGGGCUGAGCUCAUUGCUUCUUGCUGUCGCAGUGUGUUGCUGACACUCUUCUUCUCUUAUGGACAAGUCUAAGGAGAGCACACAGCGGAAAUAGAGAACCCUAUGAUGACCUUCUGGGGCCACCAAGUUAUAGAGCCCACAUGUUCAACAGAGUGACUUAACAUUAGAAGUAGAAUUGCCCUUGAAUACCAUGGAGUUCAAGUUCCUCCCUGGAGACAGAGGGAAUACUGAGUUCCACAAAACAAAAGUGACUUGUCAGAAGUUAACCAGCAUGCUUGUCACAUGUGAGCAUGAGGACUGAGAUCUCUAUCUGUCCUACGUACUGGAGAUUACAUUUAGGCGCCAGUCUGCAGACGUUUCCAUGGAUUUCAGGUUCCCUCAGUCGGGGCCCAGUGGCACUGCUCUGGGCCUGCCUUCCUUUGCCACUCAAGUGCUGACCUUCUGCAAUGUAACAGAACAAGGCCUUUGAGCUGCUCACUGGUAAGCUGCACGGUAAUGAGCUCCAGCUGUUGAGCGCAGGCUCUGGUCCAUUCUGGAAGCUUGUCUUUGUGGUACCAUUAUCCCUUCUGUUUGGGUAUCCAAAUGCCAUCUCGAGUCCCCCACUUCAGAACAACGUCCAGACAGACCUGCAAGUGUCCUUUAUGGACUGGGCAUGGCAGAUUUACCAGCUCAGGGGUCUUACAAAUCAUUUGUAAAAGGCUCUUCCAGUGCAAUGCAGGUAAACUGAAUCUCGGCAAAUCAAAUGAAAACCUCUGGUGCGUGCGGUUUGCAGAUGUUUGUGGUGUAAACAGUCACGCCAUAAUCCAA
Molecule: long non-coding RNA, 1700 nt
Organism: Mesocricetus auratus (golden hamster)
Lineage: Eukaryota; Metazoa; Chordata; Mammalia; Rodentia; Cricetidae
Exons: 4
Source: RefSeq, a predicted model, not a curated record